UUGUCUCAAAGAUUAAGCCAUGCAUGUCUAAGUAUAAGCAAUCUAUACGGUGAAACUGCGAAUGGCUCAUUAAAUCAGUUAUCGUUUAUUUGAUAGUACCUUACUACUUGGAUAACCGUGGUAAUUCUAGAGCUAAUACAUGCUAAAAACCUCGACUUCGGAAGGGGUGUAUUUAUUAGAUAAAAAACCAAUGCCCUUCGGGGCUCCCUGGUGAUUCAUAAUAACUUAACGAAUCGCAUGGCCUUGUGCCGGCGAUGGUUCAUUCAAAUUUCUGCCCUAUCAACUUUCGAUGGUAGGAUAUUGUCCUACCAUGGUUUCAACGGGUAACGGGGAAUUAGGGUUCUAUUCCGGAGAGGGAGCCUGAGAAACGGCUGCCACAUCCAAGGAAGGCAGCAGGCGCGCAAAUUACCCAAUCCCGACACGGGGAGGUAGUGACAAUAAAUACUGAUACAGGGCUCAUUUGGGUCUUGUAAUUGGAAUGAGUACAAUUUAAAUCCCUUAACGAGGAACAAUU
This 514-nucleotide ribosomal RNA is filed under the name uncultured eukaryote. Its description in RNAcentral is "SSU rRNA". It matches the Rfam family "Eukaryotic small subunit ribosomal RNA", at positions 32 to 549 of the family's 1831-position model. The record is from RNAcentral.